GAUGAACGCUGGCGGCGUGCCUAAUACAUGCAAGUCGAACGAACGGACGAGAAGCGCGUUGUUGUGUUGUUAGCGACGGACGGGUGAGUAACACGUGGAUAACCUCCUUCUUUGACUGGGAUAACUUCGGAAAACCGGCGAUAAUACCGGAUAAUAUUUUGAACCGCUUGGUUCAAAAGUGAAAGACGGUCUUGUUGUCAGUUAUAGAUGGACCCGCGCUGCAUUAGCUAGUUGGUAAGGUACCGGCUUACCAAGGCAACGAUGCGUAGCCGACCUGAGAGGGUGAUCGGCCACACUGGAACUGAGACACGGUCCAGACUCCUACGGGAGGCAGCAGUAGGGAAUGUUCCGCAAAGGGCGAAAGCCUGACGGAGCAACGCCGCGUGAGUGAUGAAGGUCUUCGGAUCGUAAAACUCUGUUAUUAGGGAAGAAAAUAAGUGUAAGUAACUGUGCACAUCUUGACGGUACCUAAACAAGAAGCCACGGCUAACUACGUG
Molecule: ribosomal RNA, 497 nt
Filed under: uncultured bacterium
Lineage: Bacteria
Description: partial 16S ribosomal RNA
Rfam family: Bacterial small subunit ribosomal RNA
Source: RNAcentral